Molecule: non-coding RNA, 219 nt
Filed under: Virgibacillus necropolis
Lineage: Bacteria; Bacillati; Bacillota; Bacilli; Caryophanales; Bacillaceae
Description: T-box sequence
Rfam family: T-box leader
About the family: Uncharged tRNA acts as the effector for transcription antitermination of genes in the T-box leader family.
Source: RNAcentral
UAAACAGUAACGCAAGGAAAUAGUAACAGUGAAACUUUCUAAAGAGAAUCGAUGGCUGGUGCGAAUCGAUGUUAGUUAUCUGUGAAUCCAUCCUUAAACUGGUUUGCUGAACUAGCGCUUAAGUAGGUAAACCCGGUUAAAAACCGUUAACAUUUUUUGAGCCGGAAGAAUUCAUUUCUUCAAUCUGGGUGGUAUCGCGGGUAUACUCUCGUCCCUAUU